RNAcentral lists this ribosomal RNA (400 nucleotides) under Tlalocohyla sp. c AS-2022. Its description in RNAcentral is "partial small subunit ribosomal RNA". It matches the Rfam family "Bacterial small subunit ribosomal RNA", at positions 780 to 1392 of the family's 1533-position model. The record is from RNAcentral. Lineage: Eukaryota; Metazoa; Chordata; Amphibia; Anura; Hylidae.
AGAUACCCCACUAUGCCUAGCCGUAAACUUUAAAUUACACCAACAUCGCCCGGGAACUACGAGCCAAGCUUAAAACCCAAAGGACUUGACGGUACCCCAUAUCCCCCUAGAGGAGCCUGUCCUAUAAUCGAUAACCCCCGCUUAACCUCACCAUUUUUAGCUAAUCAGCCUGUAUACCUCCGUCGUCAGCUUACCCCGUGAGCGUAUUUUAGUGAGCUCAAAGUCUUUACAUCAACACGUCAGGUCAAGGUGCAGCAAAUAAAAUGGAAAGAGAUGGGCUACACUUUCUAUGUUAGAAUAUACGAAAGACUAUUUAUGAAACCUAGUCGGAAGGCGGAUUUAGUAGUAAAAAGAGACCAUAAAGCUCUUUUUAACUUGGCACUGGGGUGUGUACACACCG